RNAcentral lists this non-coding RNA (23 nucleotides) under Cricetulus griseus (Chinese hamster). Lineage: Eukaryota; Metazoa; Chordata; Mammalia; Rodentia; Cricetidae. The record is from RNAcentral.
GGCAGAGUCUGUGCCUGGUGACU